Molecule: ribosomal RNA, 446 nt
Filed under: uncultured bacterium
Lineage: Bacteria
Description: partial 16S ribosomal RNA
Rfam family: Bacterial small subunit ribosomal RNA
Source: RNAcentral
CCUACGGGUGGCAGCAGUCGAGAAUCAUUCACAAUGGGGGAAACCCUGAUGGUGCGACGCCGCGUGGGGGAAUGAAGGUCUUCGGAUUGUAAACCCCUGUCAUGUGGGAGCAAAUUAAAAAGAUAGUACCACAAGAGGAAGAGACGGCUAACUCUGUGCCAGCAGCCGCGGUAAUACAGAGGUCUCAAGCGUUGUUCGGAAUCACUGGGCGUAAAGCGUGCGUAGGCUGUUUCGUAAGUCGUGUGUGAAAGGCGCGGACUCAACCCGCGGACGGCACAUGAUACUGCGAGACUAGAGUAAUGGAGGGGGAACCGGAAUUCUCGGUGUAGCAGUGAAAUGCGUAGAGAUCGAGAGGAACACUCGUGGCGAAGGCGGGUUCCUGGACAUUAACUGACGCUGAGGCACGAAGGCCAGGGGAGCGAAAGGGAUUAGAUACCCCUGUAGUC